RNAcentral lists this transfer RNA (76 nucleotides) under Phascolarctobacterium sp. Its description in RNAcentral is "tRNA-Lys". It matches the Rfam family "tRNA". Rfam says of the family: Transfer RNA (tRNA) molecules are approximately 80 nucleotides in length. Their secondary structure includes four short double-helical elements and three loops (D, anti-codon, and T loops). The record is from RNAcentral. Lineage: Bacteria; Bacillati; Bacillota; Negativicutes; Acidaminococcales; Acidaminococcaceae.
GGUCCAUUAGCUCAGCUGGUAGAGCACCUGACUCUUAAUCAGGGUGUCGUAGGUUCGAACCCUACAUGGAUCACCA